Molecule: non-coding RNA, 1623 nt
Organism: Lactuca sativa (garden lettuce)
Lineage: Eukaryota; Viridiplantae; Streptophyta; Magnoliopsida; Asterales; Asteraceae
Source: RefSeq, a predicted model, not a curated record
UUAACUACCAUCGCACAUCCAUCUUCGCCUCUUCGUUACCACCAUUCAUUACCACCAUAUAUCCCCUUAAUUGUUUAAUAUGUUGUUCUAAAACGUUCUAUGUUCCACCACUCCUACAACUAAGUCCAACGCACCUCCAGCAACCCUAUCUAUCACAACCGCCGCACCUCCAUAAAGCAUAGUUUCCAACCACAUAACUUAUUUCCACCCUACUUCUUUCUUUGAAAACCCUAAAUCCUAUCUCUCUCUUUCAUCUGACCAGGUAAAAGCCUAACCGUUAGACAAUGGAUUAGUAUGCAAGAGGAGAUGAGAUCGGGAUGUCUACUAUUGUUCGAUACUCUUUUACUUAUUAAGAGUAUUAUCUAAUUUAGAGUCAUCAUCACACACCGUUUAGCUAUUCGUUAUUUCUUCCACCACCACAGCCACAAGCUUCCUGUCAAAAGUUAACAUCUACAACCCACCAUUGGUACCUCGAUUUAUGAAUUUUUUAUGUUUCGUAUAAUGUUUUGGUUUAAUUUUUUUUUCUAGAUUUAUGCUAUUUGAUAUGAAAUUAUGAUGCUCUGCUUAUACGUUUUGGAUUGAUUUUUGGGGUUUCUUGGAAGAAUACGCCUUCAUUUUCAGAUCUUAAAGCAAAACAGAAAGCUUAAAUUUGUUUGCAUUCUUAGGUACAUUUUGUUGAUUUUUUUUUUAUAAAUUUAAGUUGUUGAAAUUUAUUUGGGGUUUUGUGAUGUUAAAUAAUGUUAUUAGUAAUGAGAUGUUCAUACAAUGAAACACUAAACAUUUGGACACAAGUUAGCCAUCCAUCCUUUCCUACAUGUAUUGUUUACAAAUUUUGAGAAUAUGAACUCUUAUAAUUCUUUAUGUCGUUGGUUCUUAAAGCAGGGAUUUACUAGAUGGUGUUGACUUUGGUAAGGAUAAUUGGUGUUUGUAUUUAAAAAACUUAUACUUUACUUAUUAAACUAUAUAAAAAAAAUUAAGAUGCAAUUUUUUUGAGAUACAUAAAUGGUUUUCUAAUGAAUUGUUUUCAUGUAGGAAGAAGUGGGGAAGAUGAUUAAGAAGUGGAAUCAAGGAAUAUGUCUUACAUAGAUUAUGGGCCCUUCUGAAAUCUAUCCAGCUAAAAGUGAAUAGCUAAAGUUCAAUUUUCUUGGAGUGUUUUGGAGGCUUGUGGAGUUCAAGCACUAUGGGCUAACAAAGGAAUGAAAUAGGAACUUUUGAUUAAAAUGGAUGUUGAUGAUUGUGGAGGUGUAUGCUCAAAUUCAACCAAGGUGUCCUAAUAUGAUAUUGAAGAUGAAUAAUGGGAUUAUAUAGACAUAAGAGCAUCUGAUUUUGAUAGUUCACAAGAAUUGAGAAAGAUGACCAUCACACACCACCACUACUACCAUUUAUAUCCCUCAACAUAGUCAUCAUGACCCACGGUCACCAUAGCUCCACCACCUUAUGUAAUUUGUCUCAUCCCUGUUUAUUGUAUCUCAGUUACAAGCAUAUUUAAAAAUUUUAGUCAGUAGAGAGGUUUCAUCUCCGUUUUUUAAUCAGUAAAAGGAAUCUGGUUCGGUUUUAGUUUUUAAGCUUCAUUUUUUGUAUAACUUUUAGCCAUAUGGGGUUAUAUAUGUUCAUGUUGUUGCU